CAGUAGCCGCGGGGAAUACGGAGGGUGCAAGCGUUAAUCGGAAUUACUGGGCGUAAAGCGCACGCAGGCGGUCUGACAAGUCAGAUGUGAAAUCCCCGGGCUUAACCUGGGAACUGCAUUUGAAACUGUCAGGCUGGAGUCUUGUAGAGGGGGGUGGAAUUCCAGGUGUAGCGGUGAAAUGCGUAGAGAUCUGGAGGAAUACCGGUGGCGAAGGCGGCCCCCUGGACAAAGACUGACGCUCAGGUGCGAAAGCGUGGGGAGCAAACAGGAUUAGAUACCCGAGUAGUCCCUGUCUCUUAUA
RNAcentral lists this ribosomal RNA (301 nucleotides) under uncultured bacterium. Its description in RNAcentral is "partial 16S ribosomal RNA". It matches the Rfam family "Bacterial small subunit ribosomal RNA", at positions 509 to 808 of the family's 1533-position model. The record is from RNAcentral.